GGUUAAGUGGCAUUUCCUGUCCCAUUGUGUUAAAUAGCAUGCAGCUGCUGAUGUGCAGCAUGCAGCUAUCAUCAGAUACUAAACAGCAGAGUGACCUUGCUGCUGAAAACUAUAUGGCCUUUGCUGAUUGAUCUGUAGCUGCCUAGUGUUACUUUUUAAUUAUCCAGAUGCUCUGAAUUGCCAGUCUUGAUAAAGGUCCUAUAAUAGGACCGAAACGUCGAAUGUUAAAGGCAACGUUAUUGAACCUGAUUAACCUGAAUAAACUGAUUGACACAUCAA
Molecule: long non-coding RNA, 279 nt
Organism: Pseudophryne corroboree (corroboree frog)
Lineage: Eukaryota; Metazoa; Chordata; Amphibia; Anura; Myobatrachidae
Exons: 3
Source: RefSeq, a predicted model, not a curated record